GUGGUGUUUGGAUCGUCCCUGCCGGCUGGCUCCGUGCCCGUCCACCGAACGGUCGGCAGGCGAUCCGCGUCGGUCUCGCCGGGUGGUAUGGUUCCCCAGAGGCCGGUUCUUGUGCUGCCUACCCCUUCAGGGGAAGCGGGCCGCUCGAUGUAAGCCUCCAUCCGGCGCCCUCCAACGGGCGCAGGAGGACAACGUAGCACCCCCCGCGCUCCACCGAGCCCAUAUCGGUCGCGUGGCGCGCGGGGACGUGCGAUGCUCUCGGACCCAGCGAACGCCGUGGGCGAGGACUCACGUCCCAGUCCCGAUAGAAGCUCCCAAAUAAUGCAUGACGGCCGCUCCCGUCCCACGACCGCCCCGGCGGCGCGGGGGCGAGGCGCGGCGUCGCGGAGGAAUGCUACCUGGUUGAUCCUGCCAGUAGUCAUAUGCUUGUCUCAAAGAUUAAGCAAUUUUAUAAAAAUU
RNAcentral lists this unclassified non-coding RNA (459 nucleotides) under Acacia aulacocarpa. RNAcentral's name for it is "partial contains external transcribed spacer and 18S ribosomal RNA". Lineage: Eukaryota; Viridiplantae; Streptophyta; Magnoliopsida; Fabales; Fabaceae. The record is from RNAcentral.